Molecule: long non-coding RNA, 346 nt
Organism: Gasterosteus aculeatus aculeatus (three-spined stickleback)
Lineage: Eukaryota; Metazoa; Chordata; Actinopteri; Perciformes; Gasterosteidae
Source: Ensembl
CCAGAUGAAGAACAUGAUGAUUGGUUGUAUUGUAACAUUAAGUGAAUAUGGAUUGAUGUCAGUGAGGGAUUUCACAUUCAUUUGUGGUGUGAAAACAUGGCAGGUCUCCCUGCUCGAUGUCGCACCGUCUCAUUCAUUCACUUGGCUCAUGACGUCCACCUGAAUGUUCCUCUUUGGCUAAAAAGUGACCUAAAUCGCUUGAGACAGAGUCAGAGCCUCCAGCCACCAACCUCACCGCACGUCACUGCCAGCAGCUCUGUGAAAGGUCCAACGUCUAGUUUCAGAAGAUCUAAGGAGACUUCUACAGGCGGCUUCAGACUGAUACGUGGGGAAGUUGUUCCGCCCC